AGUUGCAACUACAUGCAACCAAACAACCCCUAAGUGAAGACAAAAGGAGGAGUCAAGAGGAAAUAAAAAGGCAGAGCUUGGUAAAAACACAAGAGGAGCUCUGAAGAAGAGAGAAGUGGGCCCAUUGCGAUGCCUAAAAACAAAAAGAAAAGAAAAAAAAAGAUUUGAGAGAAAAAAAAGAGAAAGAAAAAAAAAGAAAAAAGACAAAAAAUGAGAAAGAAGAAGAAUUAAAGAGAAAAAAAAGGAGGAUAAAGAGAAAAAGGAGCAAGAAAGUAGAGAAAGCAAAGAUCACGAAAGAAAGAGGAGAUAAAGAAGAGAAAAAGAUGAAGGAAGGAGAAGAAAAAAAGUAAUGAGAGAAGGAAGAAAGAAAAACAACAGAAGAAGAAUUGAUAAUGACGGAGUGAGAAGAGUCAAGAACAAAGAUGGAAAAAUAGCUGAACUACUCUUAAAGACUAAUUCGGUAGUUGAAACCCGACCUUAUGCCUAAGCUACAACUAUAUAUCUCUUAACUUCGG
This 515-nucleotide long non-coding RNA is filed under the name Ananas comosus (pineapple). RNAcentral describes it as "long non-coding RNA (ACOM_LNC021003)". The record is from RNAcentral. Lineage: Eukaryota; Viridiplantae; Streptophyta; Magnoliopsida; Poales; Bromeliaceae.